GCACGGCGAGCGCCGCUUCUCGGCCAUGGUUCCGGAUCCCAAGUCCCGGGAAGCGACGGCGGUCGUCGUUGGCUGGUAGUCUCGACUACGAAGACGACGACGAAGAAGAAGAAGAGUCCCAGAAAAGUAAUGGUGAGAAGGCCCCCCGAAGGGACGCUUGGACCUCCACGACCAGCGAGCAAGUAAGGAGGGCACUGAAUGGAUUGGCAAGUGCCCUACAAGGCCUCUCGUCUGAGCGGGCUUCAUCAGCUCAUGCAAUUGCCCAAACCUGAAGCUGCUUGGGAGAGAGGCCAAACAUCGUCCAGGACAAGCAAAACAGUUCAGUUGCCAUCCAGCCGAUGCCCUGAAAUGGCGAGUAACU
Long non-coding RNA from Hippocampus comes (tiger tail seahorse), 361 nucleotides. RefSeq lists it as uncharacterized. NCBI's taxonomy places the organism in Eukaryota, Metazoa, Chordata, Actinopteri, Syngnathiformes, Syngnathidae. The record is from RefSeq and is a predicted model, not a curated record. The transcript is spliced from 3 exons.